Molecule: transfer RNA, 66 nt
Filed under: Bos taurus (domestic cattle)
Lineage: Eukaryota; Metazoa; Chordata; Mammalia; Artiodactyla; Bovidae
Also listed under: 2 other names
Rfam family: tRNA
About the family: Transfer RNA (tRNA) molecules are approximately 80 nucleotides in length. Their secondary structure includes four short double-helical elements and three loops (D, anti-codon, and T loops).
Source: Rfam by way of RNAcentral
ACCCAGGUGGCUCAGUGGUAAAGAAUCUGCCUGUCAAGCAGGAAAUGUGCUUUUGAUCCCUGGGUC